RNAcentral lists this long non-coding RNA (11697 nucleotides) under Manihot esculenta (cassava). Its description in RNAcentral is "long non-coding RNA (MESC_LNC003208)". Lineage: Eukaryota; Viridiplantae; Streptophyta; Magnoliopsida; Malpighiales; Euphorbiaceae. The record is from RNAcentral.
GUAGGCUUAAACUCUCCUCAGUGCUCAGUCCUGGCCUCUCUUGUUUCUCAAGUCUUGACCGUGAAGCGUGAAGCACCAGACCUGUCCGCUCGUCAUGUCGAUUCCCUUCCUUUUUUCUCCUGAUUGCUCUUGUACUAGCUCACCAUUGUUGCCAGUACUUUUCUAUUUAGUUUUUAUUGUGAAAACGUGGGCAUAAGUUUGGGUUCUUUAUUGUUUCUUUAAAUUUUGAGAAAAUUAUUAAGUUUAUGUUCAAUUGAUACGGAAAUGAUGCGUUAUCAAUGAACUAUCUGAACUGCAAUUCAGUUGAUAGCCAAAUUCUAGUAAGAUCUGGAAAAUGUUCUCUGAUAUGAAAAUAAUGAAUUGUCAGCAAGCUGCAUGUACUCUUCACAUUCAAUUUUACAUGCGCUGUCUUCCAUUCUUACAUGGAUGCUUAGCAUUGGCUUAGGAUUCAUACGAUGAGCUCUUCCUUGGGAUUCAGGGGAUAUCAGAUAAUUGGAGAAAAUUAAUUAAUUCGUCCUUAUUUGUGAUUCUUUUCUUCUAGUGGCUUAUUCUUUUUUCUUUUUCUUUUUUUUUUUUUCUUUCAGGAAAUGGGUUGAUGACAUUAAGCAAUUAGCAAAGGGGCUGGGAGAGAACUUCACUGAUAGAGAUGGUUGAUGAAGCUGACCCAGAUUGUAAGUUAUUCUGCUUUUGUCCUGGAUUCAGUUUGCAGAACUCUUAGUAGUGGUGUGUUGAAACUGUAUUCACGAGGAAUUACUUAUUUUUUUCAUUGUUGUAGUUUGUUGAAAUUUGCACUCUUCUUAAUAAAAACAAAACUUUACUCAUUUUAACGUCUGAAGAUUAUUUGCUAGAAAAUAAAACUAAUAAUUACAGGCUCGAAAUUGUUGAAACUAUAAUAGAACAUUUUGACAAAAAUUACUUUUAUAGGAAUUAUUUGAGAACUGAAAGUGAAACAGUGAAAAACUAAGAAUAUUAUUGCUCACAGUCAUAACAUACAUAGAUGAUAGAACACAUAAAACAAUUGAAAUCUACUCAUCAGCAGUUGAAUCUAAACCCAUUUCAGACAAUUGUUCUUCUACAUGUUGUUCUUUUGGUUGUUCAAAUAAGCUGUGUUUGUUUGUGUUAAUCACUACUCGAAAUAGGAGUGGAAAUUGAAAAAAUAUAAAGAAAGUAACGGGGAUUGUGGAAAGAAUAGUGAGUGGAAUGUCAAUCCAAGAUAAUCGUUUUUGGAGCAGAAUAAAAAUGCUAGAGCCAAAGGCUAUCAUCAUGGUUACUACAGAGAAGAAAAGAGUAGAAAGGCCAAUGAUUAGUUUUCUGGGUAAGGACUUGAGGAAAUCUUUCUCUGCAUAACGUGAAGUGAGGAUACCAAGAAAUAUUAGCACAGAAGUAUUAGACAAGAAGAGUGAUAGUGCAUUUGUAAUGACAAAUAUUAGAAAUGCAUCAUAACCCAAGAAUAUAGGAAUGCCUGUGUCAUUUUUGGUGCCACCAGGAAUUGUAAAAGCUGUUGUGAACACAACGGUGGCAAUGAGAGCAGCCACAACCAUACAUGAAGCUGUGGUAUUCUUCAUCCAUCUUUCACCUUCUUUCAUCAACUCCGCAUGUUCCUUGGUGAAUAAAGUGCUAGGUGUAUGACCAUUUUCAUUAGUUCUUUCCAUGAACUUUGUUGGUACCAUGCUUUGUAUUUCCUAGGGCAAAAAAAAAAAAGUUCUUUUAAUCAAGUUAAUCUAGAGCCAAUUUGGAAUAUUGCUAUUUGAACUAUCAUUAAAAAAAAGGUUGGAUGCGUAAUUUGUCAUUUCACUUUUUUACAAAAAGUUAUUUUAUCCUCUUAAUUUUAUCUUCAUUUUAUUUACACCAACUUUCAAAUUGUGAAUAACUUAAUCCUACAAUGCAAGUGAGAGUAUAUAUCAUCCCCUUCACUUUUUCAAUUGUGAAAUAACUUAUUUCCGAUGUUGUGGGUGCUAAUGAAUAUCACCCUCCUGUUGCAGUGAUUAAGUUAUUCUAUAGUUUGAAAGUUGAAGAGGCAAAUAGAAUAAAAAUAAAGUUGAGGAGAUAAUGUGAUUUUUAGUGAAAAGGUUAGUGGGUAAAUUAUGCAUUUGGACAAAAUAAGAUCUUACAUAUAGAAAAAAAAAAGUUUAUGUUAAUUACAUGAUUUUAAUUCAAUUCAAAGUGCUUUAGUUAUAAGAACAUAGAAAGGGGUGCCUUUUUAAAAGGUGGAUUCAACAUGCAAUAUCAACCUGGCCAUUAAUUUAUAAAUUUAAAAUCUAGAAGGAAAAUUUUAAAUAUAAAGAUUACCUUAAACCAUUGUAAUUCCUUUUGCAUUUGUAGAGCUGCACCAGGGACCCGAUCGAGUUGAAAGGAAGGGGACAGCUUAGCCGCCAUAUGUAAGAAGUUAUUUGAAAAUACAUCUCUUUUUGUCACUAUUGUGCGACGUUUUGCCCCCAAUCCAUAGAUAAGGCUAAAAAUUUUUUCUUGGCGAAGUAGGAUUGCAUAUGCAAAUAGUGUUCUUCCCUUGUUAUCAACUCUCCAUACUAAUUCAGGGUUAGAUUUGAUUAGCUCCUGGAUAAACUCAACUAGACCAUUCUUUAUUGCAUCAUAAAUUAUUAAAUUAAACCUAAGAUUCCUGAGUUCUUCGUUUCCUAAUGUUGGUAUUUCCUUGAGUAGCAAUUUGAGGAGUUGCAAGGCUUGAGCAUGUCUCUUCUUCAUAUCUUUUAUUCUUUCAGGGACUACAAUUACAUGAAAAAGUUGAGAGAUCAAUACAAUAAUGAAUGUUUGAUUGAAUGUUAAUUGAUUAAGUAGUUGAUGGCUUACCAAGAUGUUUUAGGGAUCUCCAAAGCAGUGCGUGCGCUAAGUUGACAACUGUAAGAAAAAUACCAUAUUUAUAAUAAUAUUUUAGUUUGAAUUAAUAUGAAAAUGAAUUACUAUUAUUACUAUGAUACAACUUAUUAUAUUUCUAGAGUCAUUUAGGAUAUACCUUGUUUUCUUGUGCUUGUUCCACAACUUGAACCUUGCUUCCUAUGCGUUUGGACAUUCUCUUCAUCUUUGGGCUUUGCGGGGUUAAUAUCAUCUUGAUAGGGUUCAGGAACACCUUUCAUGCCAUUUUAUACUUAUGUUUUAGCUAUUUUUAAAGCAAUGUAUGGACACGUAUUCACUUUUGUACUUACAUGAGUAUAACCAUUGGUUCCAAAAUCCAAGUGUACUUCCACUCAGAAAUGCUGAAGUUUUAUUAGCCAGCAAACUUAUAGAUAAAUUUCUAUGAAAAUCCUCCAUAAAACCAAGUCUUCGGUACUCCUUCUCCUUCAACAGAUGCAGUGCUUCAUCUUUAUUAACAAAUUAUAAAACAAUUAUAAAUUAGGGUAUCAAAGAUAUAAACAAAAUUAAUUAAAUUUAUAUAACUUCAAGAUGCUAAAAGAUAUUAAUAAGUUUUAAAUUCGAAUGUAAAUUUAAGUUUUAAAAUUAGAAAUAUACCACUAAUGGUGGCUACGGGAAUCAAAUAGGCCCAAUUUUACAUCAAAUCCAUUAAUUUUGGUCUCUAAAAUCGAGAUUCAAGCAGGGGCAGAGCCAUGGCGGCAUAUUCUAAGCAAUUAACGAGUCAUGUGCUGAGAUUAGAGGAGGCUAUAAGAGGUGACUUGUUUGACCCCUAAUGGCAGAAUUGUUGUUUUCAAAAACAGGCCCCUAUAGGGCUGCAUCCUUUUGUGAAGGAUUGAAUCCCUAACAAGUUGAAAAGAGAGGAAAGGAAUGAGAAAUGAAAGAAACAACAGAAAAAGAAAGGGGGAGAAGUGAGAGAAAGAGAGUGACAAGAAGAAAGAUUGAUUAGUAUUGAUAAUUCUCAAAAAGCCUUGCAAGAUAGCUUCUUCUGAGAUAUAUAGGUCUCAAUAACUGCCCUAACAGAAUCAACUACAGUUAUAGCAGAAUCAGCUACUACUGUUAACAUCUUUCAACUACUUAACUAUCGGAGACCACCCUAACUAUUUUAUUAAUUCCACGUGUAAUCGCCAACCCUCUUUACUCUCCUUACUGGUCAUAAUAUUCCCCACUUCUUGAAAUCAUUAUUGUCCUCAGGAAUGAGUAAUAGAAACUGCAACACCAAUAAAACUGUUGCUUUCAUAUACAGUAAUUGAGCAACAGAAUUCAACAGACAAAAGCCAAAAGAAUCAAAACGUUGAAUUGGGUUUUUUUUUCCUGCACCAUAGGAGAUGAUUUUUUUUCCUUGCCUUCUUGAUAUUUCCUAUUCGUCCUCCAUAGAAAGUAAGAAAUCAUAGGAUAGAAUCCACCCUCUUUCCAUUUUAGCUGAACAAUAACCACAUUAGAGAGCUUUGACAACCCUGUUCUGUUUUCUCCUUAUCAACAGAUGCAUACUAAAACUCAAAUCUCUUUUCCUCGAAAAAAAAAAGACAACCGCCUUCACAUGUUUUUCUCUUCAGCUGAGUUGAUUGUCCUAUAUAUCCAUCAAAUCAAGAUUACUUUCAUCUAAUGUUGUAUUUAGUAGUGGAUGCUUGGCCCAUAGGAAUUGCAAGAUAAUGGCCAUGCUGAACCAGGCUGCUUGAAUUUACAUGGCCAGCUUCUGAAAUGUGUCCAAGCUUCGAAUCUUGAGAACUUAGAUUUUCAAGGAAAGCUUUAGAAAUGUUACCAUCCUCAAAACGUAGAUUAUUCUCAUCAUUUGCAACAUAAGCAUCAUUCUCAAAGCUUUGCUGAAUCAAAUUUUCAAGAAUUUGAAAUUUUGGUUCCUUCUUUUGAACCAACUUCUUCUCAUCUCCAUUCCCAUGAAAACUUUUCUUGUCAUCAAGAGAAACAGUCUCCUUAUUCUCGCUUGCCUUAGUCUUUGCAAAUUCCCUGCCAGUACCCCGGGAAGUUUCCAUUUCAUGGUUUCUUUCUUCUUCUAUAUCUUCAUCAUUCUUCUCCUUAGUGUCCUCUCUUACACUAAAUAUAUUAGCAAGAAAAUCUUGCUCCAUUUCAAUAAUGCCCUUGUCAUUCUUAUUGGGAGUUUUACUUGGAGCAUCUUGGUCUUCAUUUGGCUUGUUGGAAUUUCCAAAAAGGUAAUCUUGUCAGUUUUCCGUUCACUGACAUCAGUUUUCUUAGAUUUUCUCCAUUACCAAUCCCCUCGUCUUGCAUUCUCUUAAGAUGUUAAAGCACAUCCAAUAGGAUCUUUUGUUGCCAAGGUUGUAGUUCAUUGGACUGAUUGUAGCAGUGGUAGGUAAUAUCUCUUUAGCAUUCUGACACCAAACAGAGAAGUGGCCUUUGAAGCUUUGUAAUUGAUGAAUUACAAAAGGAAAAUGUGUUAGAUUUGUGAUUCAUAAUCUAGUGGGAUACUCUUUCCUAAGUAGAGUGUUAGAGUGGAGGAUUUAUUCCUCAACAGGUGGAGGACUAUAAAAGGUAGAUUUGUUGUUUAUAUGUUAUCCUUUGAAUAAGUUUCUUAAUUAGUUAGGACUAAAGGGUUUAAUGCUAUAAAUAGAGGUAUGGUUGAUAGAUUAUUUGGCUCUUCCCAAUCGAAGAGAAAGGCUUUGUUAUUUUUUCAGGUGCCCAGAACGCUAGAGGGGAGAAGCAAACCGAACCUCUAAUCGACUUAUGUACAUGUUCCUGCGGCUCGGAUGAGUAUUCUUGUUUAUAUCGCUACGACUAUCAACACUUUCUUUUUCCUAUCAACAAAACAUCCCCUUUUUCUUCGCUCUUCCGGAACCGGUGCAGAAAUGGGUGCUUUUUUUACGUUGUUUACCUUAGUUACUGGGGGGUCUUAGGGAAGAACUAUGUGGGGAACCUUUUGGGUGUGUGAUGCUCAUUUAACUUCUGUAUUCAUCUCGUUCCUUAUUUACCUGGGUGCAUUGCAUUUUCAAAAGCUUCCUGUCGAACUGGCUUCUAUUUCAAUCUGUGCCGGACCGAUGGAUAUACCGAUAAUCAACUCUUCAGUCAACUGGUGGAAUACAUCGCAUCGACCUGGAAGCUUUCUCUCAUACCAAUUUUUAAGGAUUGAAUCCCUGUUCCCUAACAAGCCAGAAAGAGAGGAAAGGAGAGAGAAACAGAAGAAACAGCAGAGAGAGAAAGGAGAGAAUUGCAGAGUAGACAGAAUUAGAGAGAGAGAGAGAGAGAGAGAGGAAGAAAGAAUGAUUGAUUAGUAUUAAUUUGUAUUUUCCUUAUUAAUCAUAACACCUUUUUUAUUUAUUUAUUUUUUAAUAAGCUAAUUUUUAUGAUUAAAAGUGGAAAAGCGUAACAGAAUAAGCCAUACUAAUCCAGGAUCUGGACAUCUUUUAGAUGGUUGUUUUCUCUUAAGCUUCUCUUGCAAGUCUUGAGCAAACUCAUCGUUGUUCUAGACUUUUUCUCUGCUUCUUUCACUAGUUUUCUUCUAUAUAGAUUUUCAUCAUGGUCCCCGUUUGCAAUAUAAUAGGCUCAUAGUUUGUCAGUUUUCAUCUGUAUAGUUUCUUAUCAUUGAUCUCUAAAGAAUUGGCCCAAUUAUUAAGGGGGAUGGCUCCACCCCUAGAUUCAAGAUCAGACCUAUUAGAAUUCUUUUAAUUCUAAUUCUAUACCUAUACUGAACUAUAAAUAAGCCUUCCUAAGAGAUUAUUAAAAAUAUUACAUUGAAAUAAUUUUGGUGUAAGAAAAGAACAGAGUGGCAUACCAUAAAGUCCAUCAGAGAUGAAGCAGUUUAGAAGUGUAGCACCAUUCUUAUCACCCCUUAGUGGACUGAGAUACUGAAUGGGAGUUUUCUCAAGAAGAUAAUGUAUUGUUUCUCUUUGGUCAAAUAAUGAAGCUUCGACGAUUGGAAGACGGCCAUCAUAAUCAUUUCCUUUGGUAACCAAAUUUUUAUUCUUUGCCAACAUCACCUUCAUCAUAUCUAUCCUUCCAUUCAAGGCUGCAAGAGUAAAGGCUGUAUUGCCAUAAUUGGAUGUCAUUUCCAAGUCUUCUUCUGACAUUAACUUCACCAACUGUUCUGCAAUCUUCCAUUUUCCAGACAAUACAGCCACUUGAAGAGCAUUAAGACCCAUCAAUGAUAUCUUUUUCCUAACAUCAUUAGGAUUCUUUGAUAGCCAUUCUUCAGCUGUAUUCCAAUCUCCCUUUUCUAUUGCUUUGCAUAGGGUUUUGUAUUGAAGGAUGCUUGAUGUUUCUACAAUAACAUAUGCAUAUUAUAUUUAAAAAGAAGAAUUCCCUUAUAUAUAUAUAUUUGUGUGUGUGCAUAUGUAUAUAUAUCUGUAUUUGUUGAUUAUCAAAAUGGAAAAUUUUUUAAAAUUUAAAUAGCAAGUACCUUCUUCCUUGUAAUGCUUAACCUUGGAGGGCUUCUCGGCCAGGUGCUCCCAAACAAAUUUGGCGGAAUCAACUUCACUGGGAUACUUCCUCAUCAAAUUUGAAAUGGUGUCUUCCUCACAAGAAUUUUCAAUGGCAUGUAAAGCCAUAGCAUUCUUCUUGAUCCAAUCCUUGUAGUUGGGAUCAUUUGCUUGGGGUUUUUCUUCCUCUCCAAACACUAUGCUCCCCAAGUCUUGACCGAUCAGGUAAUGUUUCAUGCAUUCUUUCCAAUUCUCAAAAUUAGCUUCCAUUCGCUUUUUGAUGACAAGGCUACCAAAUCCACUAGUAUUUGUUGUUGCCAUGGCUACUAGGUCAAAAUUCAAAUAUAUAGUUAUUUUCUUUUCAUCAUUCUUAACAAGCUUUUAUCUUUAGGGAAAAUUACUAUUUAAUUUUUGUUGUAUGAUGAAUCUAACUUGUUAGUCCCUGUGGUUUUAAAAAUAUACUAAAUGCUCCCUAUGGUUUUGAAAACUCAAUUAAAAGGUCUCUCCUGUUAAAUUUUGACAGAAAAAUAAAUAGUAAUUUUGUGAUACGACAAAAAAUAAAUAGUAAUUUUUCCUUAUCUUUAAAAUGUAAGCAAAUAAAUAAAUAAAUGAAAGCUAAAUACCAAAAUAGGCGAUUGAUUACAAAAGGCAGCAUUGUUCUAAUUAUGUCUUUAUGAACUAAGGAAAAUUAUAAGAAUUACUAAAUUAGGAAUAAAACUAAAUGCACCCAUUAUCUUACCAAAUUUGGAGAGAUGAAUAAGUUGUCCUAAGCUUCCAGCUGUUAAAUGCCUUUGGACACAAUGGAUUCAGAGAGGCCAUAUAUAUAUUUAUAUACAAAAUCAAUGUAGCUCUUAACUAUGUAUUGAUAAUGGACAUUUUUGUUGAUGUUAUUCCCUUUUCCAUAACCUCAAAAGAAAGUUAUCCUUACUGUUUAUGGAAUUUUCUUUUUUUUUUUUCUUACUUUGUAUUUCUAAUGAAUUAAUAUAUUAUAUGAGUGUUCUUUAAUUCCUUUUAUUUUUAUCAUUUAUUUUAUACUGUGUGUGUGAAAGGGAGAAAGUUUAUUGUGUACUUGCGGAUGCAGAGGGAGAUAUGAAAGGAUUUCAUGAAGAGAGAAUAACUUGCUCUUUCCAUUAUUUUUGAAUUAGAUUCUGUUCUUGUAUACAUGUGUGUGAAAGGUAGAAAGUUUAAUGAUAAAUUAGAACCUAUUAAUAGAAAAUUAAUGGAAAGAAUUUACUUUUGAGAUAGAAAGAAAUGUGAAAAAUUUGAUGAAAAGAGAAAUUCCAUUAAUUUAAUUAGAACCUAUUCUUUCAUAUGUGUCUGAAAUGGAGAAAGUUUGGGAUAAGUUGGAACCUCAUAAUCAGAAAUUAAUGGAGAGUAUAUUCUAAAGUAAUGGAGAUAAUAGGUUGUCUUUUCAUCAAAUUCUCUAUGAAAUUCUAUUAUGAGCUGACUAUUCCAUGGAGAUUUACAAACAUAGAAUGAAAAAUCUAUUACGACUUCAUUUGGAAUUAUUUAUUUUGUAAGAAAAGAAUAUAAAUAAAUAAUAAUGCAUGAUUUUAAUCUUUUUAUAAUAAUAUUUUUUAAAAGAAUUGAUAGAGAAGAAAUCAAUCCAAUUAUAAUGUUGUAAAAUUUUUUAUUUCAAAUAAGAGAUACUUGUCGACACAAAUUAGACACAAACUACUUCAUCAAACAUGAGGAAUCUAAGAAGAUUAAGUCUAGCAGGGGUAAAUGAGGAAGAAAUUAAGCUAAAGAGAAGCAAUGAACUCUUCCUUGCUCAUAGUUUAUGCCUCAUAUCUACUGUUAAUAAAAGAAACUUUAGGAAUAGAAGUUGCUAGGUUUAAAUCUCGUCCAUUGAAUUUCUCGAAGGAACCUUGUAACCAAGAGAUAACAUUUCAUGAAUCAUAUUCAAUGAUGUGUCCUUCAGCUUUCGUGUUAGUACAAGAGUAUACUUUCGUGAAGUCAAACUUAUCGUUGAGGACACCCUUUGAUAGAUUAGUUAGAAGCAUCGCUGGCAAAACUAUUAUUAGGAAAAUUAUUUUCUUAAUGGUAAAUUACACUUUAGUCUUUGAGUUUUAGUAUAAUUAAUGGAUUGGUCCCUUUAUUUUUAAAAUCUAACACUUAAAUUCCUCUAUAAUUAGUCCGUCCAAAUAAGAGAUCAUUCCAUCCCUAAAAUACCUUUAUGAACACUUAAAUGUUUAUUUGGGUGAAACAUUUUAUAUUGUAUAAACUAUACUUUAGUCUAUGAAUUUUAGUGUAAUAACAUAUUAAUUUUUAUAUUUUUAAAACUAAAUUCUUGAAUCCUUUUAUAUUCAGUCCAUUCAAAAUUACAGUUUUUCAAUCCAUUAUAGACAUUAGUUUAAAGUUAGUAGAUGGUCAAAUUUCUAAAAGUAUAAUUUCUUUCUAAAAUAUUUUUUAUAAAAAUCUACAAUCUAUUUAAAGGUUACUUGGUAUCACUUAAAAAUGACUGAAAUUGUAAGUAUUUUCUGAAAAUUUUGAAAAUAUUAGAAUCUAAACGGACUGAUUAUAGAAGGAUUUAAGUAUUUGUUUUAAAAAUACAGGGACUGAUCCGUUAAUUAUGGUAAAAUUUAAGGAUUAACGUGUAGUUUACUCAUUUAAAAAGAGUAAUAAAGAUAUUAUUAUACUUUUAACGGUAAAAAUGGAUGAAGAACCUUCCAUUUGGACGGAUAGAUUAUAUAGAGAUUUAAGUGUUCGGUUUAAAAAAUAUAGGGAUCGAUUUGUUAAUUAUGUUACAAGUCAGAGAUAAAAAGUAAUUUUUUUUUCUUUUCUUAAAUAUAAUUGUUUAAAAUAUUAAAAGUUGAUUGAAUUUUGAUAUAUUGUAGUCAGAAAACACCAAAAUACUAACACUCUUUUUUUUUGAACUGUUAUGUUAACAGUACCUAAAGUAGUGUUAAACAUAACAAAAGAUGUUCUACUUGCACAGAUCCCAAGGGUUAACGCUAUUAAUUAAUUGAGUUCUUCCACAAGGCAACAUAAGCAUUAAUCUGAUCAAAGAAAAGUUCAGCAAACAACAUCAUCAGAAGCAAAGAAGUUGUCUUCCAUGAUUCCUUUUGCAUUUUUCUUCCGUUUCCCCUCAUACUGAACUAGGGCGAUACAUCCAAUAACUUUGAUAAAAACUUGCACUUGUUUGUUUGAGCUGCCUAGAAAUUUUCGUUUGUUACUAUAACUUGCAGAUAUAAAAUCGCUUUGAUGGAUUGAACUGGCAUAUUAGGAAUGAAUGGGACCAUUGCAAGAGAGUAUUUUUUUUUUCUUUUCCCAUUGAUUUAGACCAUCAGAGGGACAUAUUUCAAGAUGCUCUAAGUUUAAAGUAGAGGAGGAAAUGGAUGCCGUGUCACAGUCUGUUAUUAUCAGUAAAAGCUAGAGGAUAUAAUUGUUAGUUAAUAUGUUUUUACAAGUGUUCCCUUUUGUCUAUAUUUAUCUUCCCCAACCAUGUAUAAGAUUGAUUUUUGUGUUUUUCAUAGAGUAACACGGUGAUAUGAAAGCCUGUGCAAUAUUAGCUGCAUUGGGUCAUGGGUUGUCUUGCAAAUUUGAUUACAUGCACAAAAAUGAUGAAACUGUUGUAGGAGUAGGAGGAUAAUUUGUCGGACAUGGCACCCCUCUAAAUGAACCCAUACCCAUAAUUUGACGAAGAAAUAUCUUCAAUUGAUAAGCUACCAUCAGGUCCACUACCAUAUAUAAAAUUUGGAUUAUACGUACCAAAACUGUAUUCAUAAUUUGAUAAAUCAAUUGAUCUCUUUUUCUCAUAUUUCUUGUAUGCAACACCUUUAUCUCUUGUUUAGGAUGUUUUAGCACCACUAGUACCAUAAUUGUGAGAGUCUCGUGGUGUUUGAUAUGUACAUACUGGAGAUGGUUCAGAAGUAAUUGUAGUUUCACUUUGUCUUUGACUAGAUGGAUAUUAUGAACUACGACUACCACCUCCUUCAAUUGUGAUUUCUCAUCCAUCUUGAUUACCACCAUCAUCACCAUCACUACUAGUCGGAUAAAAUAAAACAAUCAUCACCAACACCACCUUGUUGUCCUUGAGCUUGAAUGGCAGAUUCAGAUUGUGAUGAAGCAUUUUUAUCGGUGAAUUCAGAUUGUGAUGAAGCAUUUUUAUUCAUGCCCGCUUCUUCAUCAUCCGGCUAUGGAUUUAAUUGGCCAUCAAGCAAUGAAGAUUCCUUUCCUCUAACCAAGACUUUAACGAAAUAUCUCCUUCAAAAAUAUAAUUCAAAUUAAUUAAAUCAUAACCCCUAUCUAAUUCUUGUUGACUUUUGUCUUGUCAUAUUUAUAACUUUCAGCCUUAUGUUGUAGUGCACAAAAACAAGUGCAUAUAAUUUUUGAUACUUCAAUAUGUUUCUUGUUUUUGUGUGAAUGAGGAAACUGUGUUCCAAUUUCUUUUGCAGUUUAAAGUUGAAGUUAUUUGGCUCAACAUUUUGAUAACAAUUUUUCUUUAACU